Molecule: long non-coding RNA, 267 nt
Filed under: Vitis vinifera (wine grape)
Lineage: Eukaryota; Viridiplantae; Streptophyta; Magnoliopsida; Vitales; Vitaceae
Description: long non-coding RNA (VVIN_LNC005627)
Source: RNAcentral
UCUCAUUCACUAUUUAAAUAAUUAAAUUUCAGUAUAAUAUAUAUGAAAUUUCUAUAUUAAAAAAAUGCACGGGUUCAACUUAAUCCAAUCAAUUUGGAGUAACACAACCUGAUCAAGUCCAACCCAACUAAUGGAAUCUAACCCAAGCUCCAAAAACUGAAGUCCAACUAAUCCGAGUCCAACUCAAGCUGGAAAAAGAAAUGAGGUUACUUUGGUUUGAGUAACUCGGAUUUGAGGUUUGGAUGUUUUUUUAAGGCCAGCCCAACC